CGAAUGCGUGUGCAGCGCUUCCACUCCAUCCUCACUUACUGCCACCGGCGACUCCUGAAAGGUAUCAAAAACGACUCGCAGGAGCACCGAACACCAGCUUAGCCGCGUAAAGGUGGCCGCACGCACUCUGCCAUAGUGCAACGCCCGCCCUGUCCAUAUUCCUCAUCUCUCUUUUUCCUCUUGUAUUGGCAUUUCUUUGUUUUGUGUGGCGUGCUCAUUCUUUUCUCUUUGACGUUUGCUUACUGGGGCCCACGGACUCACUUUUCCGUUGUCUGUUUUAUCGUUUUCCGUCUGUGAGACUCUGGGGAUGGCUGGCAACGUACGUGCGGUUGACGGCAGAAGAUGAUGGCUAGGCUGAUGGACAUGCCUCUCGUCUCUCUGAUUGUCUUUUGUUGUUUUCGCUCCUCGUUGUCUUCGAUAGCUGAACAUACGCACGCUUUCUCUCUUGCGUGUGUUCGCCUCAUGCAAAUCGCAGUGAUUGCCCGCACUUCACGAAGCUGCUGGAGCGGGGGACUGCUCUUUGCGUGCGCGCCUCAUUUUCUUUCCUGGAGGCGUAUGGGCGUGCCAGCACGGACUCCCAAUCUUUGCUUACUUGAAACGGGAAGGAUCGAUGCUGCGCCCGUCCAGUGCACGACGUUGUGUCUCCCAUGUAGUUGUCCAACUGACGAAUCAUCUACAGCGGAGGUAAUGCCGAUGUGCACGCACUGCUUCGCCUCUCCAAAUCAGCAGCGAAACAAGUACGCGCACACCAGAAGCAAACGCAAAAACGAAGGAAAAUGCACCCCGCGUCGGGGGAACUCUCACACCGAGUGAACUGCAACAU
RNAcentral lists this unclassified non-coding RNA (823 nucleotides) under Leishmania donovani. RNAcentral's name for it is "gene:unknown". The record is from RNAcentral. Lineage: Eukaryota; Euglenozoa; Kinetoplastea; Trypanosomatida; Trypanosomatidae.